RNAcentral lists this ribosomal RNA (527 nucleotides) under Adrastini sp. UPOL RK0016. RNAcentral's name for it is "partial 16S ribosomal RNA". The stretch from base 391 to 527 matches the Rfam family "Bacterial large subunit ribosomal RNA", at positions 2473 to 2610 of the family's 2925-position model. The record is from RNAcentral. Lineage: Eukaryota; Metazoa; Arthropoda; Insecta; Coleoptera; Elateridae.
CAUGUCCUUUUGAAUUUAAUUUAAGGUCUAAUCUGCUCAAUGAGGAGUUAAAUUGCCGCGGUAUUUUGACCGUGCAAAGGUAGCAUAAUAAUUAGUUUUUUUAUUGAAAGCUGGAAUGAAUGAUUGGACGAGAAAAUUUCUGUCUCUUUUUGAACUAUUAUUUAAUUUAACUUUUAAGUUAAAAGGCUUAAAUUUGUAUUAAAGACGAGAAGACCCUAUAGAGUUUAAUAAUUAUUUAAUUUUUGAUUAUUUAGUAUUUUUUAAUUUUUAGUUUAUUAAUUAUUUGGUUGGGGUGACUGGAAGAUUUAUUUAACUCUUCUAUUAAUGUUUAAUCAUUUAUUUUUGAAUAGUUUAUCUAUUUUUAAUAAAUUUAAGAUAAAUUACCUUAGGGAUAACAGCGUAAUUUCUCCUUAGAGUUCUUAUUAAUGGAGGAGUUUGCGACCUCGAUGUUGGAUUAAAAUUUAUUUUUGGUGCAGAAGCUAGAAUAUUGAGUCUGUUCGACUCUUGAAAUUUUACAUGAUCUGAGU